UGAGGGCUGCUCUCAGUCUCUGCUCUGCAGGAGCAGCUCAACUGCCCCGUGGUCUUCUCUGAGUGUGGGAAGUGAAGAUGCAAGCACCACCCAGGUCUGAAGCCCUUGGAGAUAGAGCUGACAUGGCCUGGUAGGGCCAGAGUGACCCAACUGCCCAUUCAGAGUGGGAAAGAAGACUGCUAAGCUGAUAUAAUGAGAUAAUAUCCUUCACUGGCAUAAGUAAGGCUACGAGAUGGACUGCUACCCACAUUGGUUUAACUUUAUUCCCAAGCAUCUCUGUCAUCUCCCCUCCAGAACUGCAGAUGGAUGGCAAUGGGGGUUACAGCCAGUUCUUCACUGCUGCUGC
Catharus ustulatus (Swainson's thrush) is the source of this 346-nucleotide long non-coding RNA. RefSeq lists it as uncharacterized. The record is from RefSeq and is a predicted model, not a curated record. The transcript has 3 exons. Lineage: Eukaryota; Metazoa; Chordata; Aves; Passeriformes; Turdidae.